AUGCCCAGCGGCGGCGCCCCUCUCGCCGUCUUCUUCGUCUCGUCCCUCAAGUCCGGCGCGCGCCUCCGCCACGGGGAGCAGCUCCACGCGCUCGCCGCCAAGUCGGGCCUCCUCGCCUCCAACCCCUUCGUCCGCAACUCCCUCCUCGCCUUCUACGCCCGGCUCCCCUCCCCAGAGGCGCCGGCGCUCGCCCACCACCUGUUCGACGAAAUUCCCCUGGCCCUCCGCGACCCCGCCGCCCACAACACCCUCCUCGCCGCCCUCGCCCGCGCGGGCCGGCUCGACCUCGCGCGGCGCAUGCUCGCGGAGAUGCCCCAGAGGGACACCGUCUCGUACACCACCGUCCUGACCGCCCUCGCGCGUGCCGGCCAUGCGGAGGACGCCGUGGCCGUCUUCCGCGGCAUGCUCGCCCAGGACGUGCCUCCCAACGAGGUGACACUUGCGGGCAUGCUCACGGCUCUGGCCCAGGAGAGGCCGCCGGUGCCGGUGGGUGUGGCACAUGGAGUCACCGUGCGACGCGGGCUUGAUGGGUUUCUCAUUGUGGCCACCAACCUGGUCCAUGCUUAUGCGGCAGCGUCACAGGUUUGUUUUGCCCGUGAGAUCUUUGAGCAGAUGCCGUAUAAGAACACAGUCACUUGGAAUGCCAUGCUUAAUGGUUAUCUGAAGACUGGGAUGGUUCAUAUGGCUGCUGAGGUUUUUGGGAGGAUCCCGGAAAGGGAUGCGGUCUCUUGGUCGACGAUGAUAGAUGGGUAUAUCCGUGCAGAUUGUGCAUCAGAAGCCCUGAGGGCAUAUGUUGCCAUGAUGGCUGAGGUGGACACGAGGGGCAAUGCAGCGCUGCUUGUUGAUUUGAUAAAGGUGUGUGCUCGACAUGCUGCGGUUUUAGAAGGGCAGCAACUACACACAGCCAUUCUGAAGGAUGGUUUUGAUGCCCAUCCGUUUGUACAAGCGACCCUUAUCCAUUUCUAUGGUUCUUGUGGUCGUCUUGACCUUGCCCGGAUGCAAUUCAAAUUAUCAGACAAAUCACACAUUGCAUCUUGGAAUGCUCUCAUGUCUGGUCUACUACAGAGGAAUCUAAUGCAUGAAGCAAGGCAACUGUUUGAUGACAUGCCUGAGAGGGACACAAUUUCAUGGAGUACUUUGUUAUCUGGGUAUGUACAGAGUGGACAUUCAAACAAGGCUUUGCAGCUAUUCUACUUGAUGAUGGAUGCUGGUGUUGAACCAAACCAUGUCACCUUGGCAAGUACUCUAUCCGCAGUUGCCGAUUCUGGCACAUUGGAGCAAGGCAGAUUUAUUCAUGACUAUAUAAUCAGCAAAUCAAUCCAACUUACAGACAACCUGAGUGCUGGACUGAUUGAUAUGUACGCAAAGUGUGGUAGUGUCGCUGAUGCAGUUCAAUUAUUCAGUUAUGUUAAGCAUAAGUUAUCUUCUGUGUCUCCUUGGAAUGCUAUCAUCUGCAGUUUAGCCAUCCAUGGCCAUGCACACACGUCGCUUGAACUGUUCUCAGAACUACAAAGCACCAAUAUUAAGCCCAACUCUGUCACAUACAUUGGUGUCUUAAAUGCAUGCUGUCAUGCUGGGCUGGUAACCGAAGGGAGGCACCAUUUUGAGUCCAUGAGGAGAGAAUAUGGAAUCCAACCAACAAUUAAACACUAUGGUUGCAUGGUUGAUCUUCUUGGUCGAGCUGGACACUUGAAAGAGGCAGAAAAUCUUAUCCAGAUGAUGCCUAUGAAAUCAGAUGUGGUGAUAUGGGGCAGCAUCCUUGCAGCCGCGAGGACACAUGGAAAUGUAGCCUUAGGAGAAAAGGCUGCGGAAGAAUUGGCCAAGAUUGAUCCAAACCAUGGAGCAUCCAAAGUGGCCUUAUCUAAUAUCUUUGCUGAGGCUGCUCGCUGGAAUAAUGUGUCCUUAGUGAGGAAGGAACUCCAGGGCGAAAAUAUGGAGAGGUUUUCUGGAAGCAGUGGAGUUGUUCAGUAA
This 1971-nucleotide ribosomal RNA is filed under the name Triticum aestivum (bread wheat). RNAcentral's name for it is "partial small subunit ribosomal RNA". Lineage: Eukaryota; Viridiplantae; Streptophyta; Magnoliopsida; Poales; Poaceae. The record is from RNAcentral.